Molecule: ribosomal RNA, 468 nt
Filed under: uncultured bacterium
Lineage: Bacteria
Description: partial 16S ribosomal RNA
Rfam family: Bacterial small subunit ribosomal RNA
Source: RNAcentral
GACGAACGCUGGCGGCGUGCUUAACACAUGCAAGUCGAACGGAAAGGCCCGGCUUUUGUGGGGUGCUCGAGUGGCGAACGGGGGAGUAACACGUGAGUAACCUGCACUUGACUGUGGGAUAACUUCAGGAAACUGGGGCUAAUACCGGAUAGGAGCUCCUGCUGCAUGGUGGGGGUUGGAAAGUUUCGGCGGUUGGGGAUGGACUCGCGGCUUAUCAGCUUGUUGGGGGGGUAGUGGCUUACCAAGGCUUUGACGGGUAGCCGGCCUGAGAGGGUGACCGGCCACAUUGGGACUGAGCUACGGCCCAGACUCCUACGGGACGCAGCAGUGGGGAAUGUUGCACAAUGGGCUGAAGCCUGAUGUAGCAACGCCGCGUGCGGUAAGACGGCCUUCGCGUUGUGUUCCGCUGUCGCCUGUGACGAAGCGUUAGUGACGGUAAUGGGUGAAGAAGCACCGGCUAACUACGUG